RNAcentral lists this transfer RNA (74 nucleotides) under Halobacteriales archaeon QS_4_70_19. RNAcentral describes it as "tRNA-OTHER". The record is from RNAcentral. Lineage: Archaea; Methanobacteriati; Methanobacteriota; Halobacteria; Halobacteriales.
CGGCACCGGGCGCGCCCGGGACGCGGGUGCUGUGGGACACCGGGUGGUCGCUGGUUCAAAUCCGGCAGGGCCCA